RNAcentral lists this ribosomal RNA (492 nucleotides) under uncultured bacterium. RNAcentral describes it as "partial 16S ribosomal RNA". It matches the Rfam family "Bacterial small subunit ribosomal RNA", at positions 29 to 507 of the family's 1533-position model. The record is from RNAcentral.
AGUGAACGCUGGCGGUUGGCCUAACACAUGCAAGUCGAACGGCAGCACAGUAAGAGCUUGCGCUUACGGGUGGCGAGUGGCGGACGGGGGAGGAAUACAUCGGAAUCUACUUUGUCGUGGGGGAUAACGUAGGGAAACUUACGCUAAUACCGCAUACGACCUACGGGGGAAAGCAGGGGAUCUUCGAACCUGGUGCGAGUGAAUGAGCCGAUGUCGGAUUAGCUAGUUAGCGGGGUAAAGGCCCACCAAGGCGACGAUCCGUAGCUGGUCCGAGGGGAUGAUUACCCACCUUGGAAGUGAGGCACGGUCCAGACUCCUGCGGGAGGCCGCGGUGGGGAAUCUUGGGCGAUGCGCGAAAGCCUAAUCCAGCCAUACCGCGUAGGUGAAGAAGGCCUUCGGGUUGUAAAGCCCUUUUGUUGGGAAAGAAAAGCAGCAGGUUAACCCCCGGCGGUAAUGACGGUACCCAAAGAAUAAGCACCGGCUAACUUCGUG